AAUGACUCUCGGCAACGGAUAUCUCGGCUCUCGCAUCGAUGAAGAACGCAGCGAAAUGCGAUACUUGGUGUGAAUUGCAGAAUCCCGUGAACCAUCGAGUUUUUGAACGCAAGUUGCGCCUAAAGCCUUUCGGCUGAGGGCACGUCUGCCUGGGUGUCACA
RNAcentral lists this ribosomal RNA (161 nucleotides) under Croton priscus. RNAcentral's name for it is "5.8S ribosomal RNA". It matches the Rfam family "5.8S ribosomal RNA". Rfam says of the family: 5.8S ribosomal RNA (5.8S rRNA) is a component of the large subunit of the eukaryotic ribosome. It is transcribed by RNA polymerase I as part of the 45S precursor that also contains 18S and 28S rRNA. Lineage: Eukaryota; Viridiplantae; Streptophyta; Magnoliopsida; Malpighiales; Euphorbiaceae. The record is from RNAcentral.